Molecule: transfer RNA, 72 nt
Filed under: Methanosarcinaceae archaeon
Lineage: Archaea; Methanobacteriati; Methanobacteriota; Methanomicrobia; Methanosarcinales; Methanosarcinaceae
Description: tRNA-Gly
Rfam family: tRNA
About the family: Transfer RNA (tRNA) molecules are approximately 80 nucleotides in length. Their secondary structure includes four short double-helical elements and three loops (D, anti-codon, and T loops).
Source: RNAcentral
GCACCGAUGGUCUAGCGGCUAUGAUCGUGGCCUUCCAAGCCACUAACCCGGGUUCGAAUCCCGGUCGGUGCA